AUGGAGGUGGUGAAGAGCCUCCUGAAGCCGAAGCCGACACCGCAGCAGCAGAUGCGCGAGUGGCAGCGCCGCCUCCGCAACGAGGGCCGCAACAUCGAGCGCCAGAUCCGAGACGUGCAGAAGGAGGAGAAGAAGGUGGAGAAGGCCAUCCGGGACGCCGCCAAGGCGCUGGCCAAGGAGCUGGUGCAGUCCAGGGAGGCGGUCAACCACCUCUACGAGAACAAGGCCCAGCUCAACUCCAUCUCCAUGCACCUCGGCAAGAUCGUCGGUGUUGUUCAUGAUGUUAUUACAAACUCUGAAAUAUGGUACUUUAGUCAAAUGUGCUUCCUUUCUGAACAACUGUGCACCUUGGAUGCUGCGAUCGACGGCCUCAAUAGCAAGACCCACAUGAAGAUCUUGCUAAAGUGGAUGUGGGGCAGGAGGAUCAUCAAGCUCUUGUGCAUGUAG
RNAcentral lists this ribosomal RNA (447 nucleotides) under Triticum aestivum (bread wheat). RNAcentral's name for it is "partial small subunit ribosomal RNA". The record is from RNAcentral. Lineage: Eukaryota; Viridiplantae; Streptophyta; Magnoliopsida; Poales; Poaceae.